Molecule: unclassified non-coding RNA, 253 nt
Filed under: uncultured fungus
Lineage: Eukaryota; Fungi
Description: sequence contains ITS1, 5.8S rRNA gene
Rfam family: 5.8S ribosomal RNA (bases 205-253)
Source: RNAcentral
UCUCCGUUGGUGAACCAGCGGAGGGAUCAUUACUGAGUUUACGCUCUAUAACCCUUUGUGAACAUACCUAUAACUGUUGCUUCGGCGGGUAGGGUCUCCGUGACCCUCCCGGCCUCCCGCCCCCGGGCGGGUCGGCGCCCGCCGGAGGAUAACCAAACUCUGAUUUAACGACGUUUCUUCUGAGUGGUACAAGCAAAUAAUCAAAACUUUUAACAACGGAUCUCUUGGUUCUGGCAUCGAUGAAGAACGCAGC